Molecule: long non-coding RNA, 1276 nt
Filed under: Mus musculus (house mouse)
Lineage: Eukaryota; Metazoa; Chordata; Mammalia; Rodentia; Muridae
Description: long non-coding RNA chr8:123835445-123836721
Source: RNAcentral
GGUCGUUGUUUCGUGGUCAUUUUCAGGAAACUCACUACCUCUAGGACAAAGGAUAUUGCUUAUUAAGAAAUCCUGGCCAAGGCUAAAGUGCUUUGGUUUGCAUGUGCAAGGCCCCGGGCUUGGUCUCCAGCAAACACCUCCAUACCACACACCUACGGUCACACCUAGGUCAGACGUGCUGAUAGCACACCUAUAAUCCCUGCACUCAGUGAACUGAGACAGCAGAGGGCGCUCAUGAGUUCAAGACCAGCUUGAGCUUAAGAGACUGGAGUACGGUGUAUGGGGUGGGUACCUCAUAAGAGGUGAAUCUCACAAAAUAUCUUUGUAGCUCUUCCUGAAUACGUAAAUGCCUUACUGCAUACAACUAUCAAGUCGACCCGCUUCUGUUUUCAGGCAGGGUCUCACUAUGUAGCCCUGGAACUUGCUGUGUAGACCGGGAUGAUCUCAAACUCACAAAAUCCACCUGCCUCUGCCUUAUGAGUUCUGGGAGUAAAGGCCUGUGCCGCCACACCAGGCAAAGCUUUUUUCCCCAACAAACAGUGUCUCCUGAGCACUGCUUUGUGCACAUUUUAAUAUGCCGAAACUUCAUUGCUAUCCUAUUCUGCUCUCUUCUAUUUAAAACGUUGUCCAAUUUUGAGAUUUCUGGUUGGCAAUUUAUGAAUAUGCUACUUAGUGUCCACCUCAGCUCUGGUCUUCUGUCACCAACUUCACAGUAGAAUAUAAUGCAUGAUCUCACUUGCUUUGGCUGGCCAGGUCUGUUUAUACACUAGGACUGCUGUCUCAGUAAUGCUGUGUCCCGGAAGGGCUUGCACGGCUCUGGCUGGGGGAAGCAGCCUCUGCCCAUUGGCACAUGGUGGUCACUGGGAUCUCCUGCAUUGUGGCUGAUCCUCACCUGUCAUCUCUAGUGCUCAUGGGAGGUGCAAGCCUCCAGCUUACUCUGAACUCCUCAGUCCUCCCUAUCUGUAGCUGACCCAUAAGACGCCCCAGCUGGACCUGGCCACACAGCCUCAGCCUCUGCCUCCGUCCCAAUACAGUAGCUGCUAGGACACCUUCCGUUACCUGCAUCAGUCCGUGGGUGGGACGCUCACAUGUUCUGCAGAGUCAGAUGGGUCCCGGGAAGUCUUGGCAGCUUUGCAGUGUGGUUGGCAUGGAAACACCAAGACAUGGUAUACACUGAUAUGUUUGUUUUGGUUUGCAUUCUUUUUUAAUGCUGUUCAGCCUCUCUGAACCUGCUCUCUUUUAGGUAAAACAUUUUUAGUAUUAAAUAUCUCACUGU